GACGAACGCUGGCGGCGGGCUUAACACAUGCGAGUCGAACGGAAAGGCCCUGCUUGUGUGGGGUGCUCGAGUGGCGAACGGGUGAGUAACACGUGAGUAACCUGCCCUUGACUUUGGGAUAACUUCAGGAAACUGGGGCUAAUACCGGAUAGGAGCUCCUGCUGCAUGGUGGGGGUUGGAAAGUUUCGGCGGGUGGGGAUGGACUCGCGGCUUAUCAGCUUGUUGGUGGGGUAGUGGCUUACCAAGGCUUUGACGGGUAGCCGGCCUGAGAGGGUGACCGGCCACAUUGGGACUGCGAUACGGCCCAGACUCCUACGGGAGGCAGCAGUGGGGAAUAUUGCACAAUGGGCGGAAGCCUGAUGCAGCAACGCCGCGUGCGGGAUGACGGCCUUCGGGUUGUAAACCGCUUUCGCCUGUGACGAAGCGUGAGUGACGGUAAUGGGUAAAGAAGCACCGGCUAACUACGUG
Molecule: ribosomal RNA, 468 nt
Filed under: uncultured bacterium
Lineage: Bacteria
Description: partial 16S ribosomal RNA
Rfam family: Bacterial small subunit ribosomal RNA
Source: RNAcentral